UCAACCAAACGGACCUCAAUAGAAAAACACAACAAAGCCAUAGCUGGCAAAUGCCAAAUUAGGCAUGGUUCAAGCUUUUUCCAUGCCAGCCUUGGCUUCACCAUUUUGGGCGAAGAAGUUAUUGUUCUUGUCUUUUUCCAUCAGAAAAAGCUUUCAACGCUAUUCAAGUCUGAAAUUCAAGUUGAAAACGAAAUUAAAAAGUGGAGCAAGUCCCACAUCAUUGGUUGACAUAAGUUUGAACAUUUUUGGGCUCUAUAAAUAGAACCCGUUCCCUUCAUAUUCAAAGAGGGAGUUCAGCGGUCAAAAAAUUGGUCUUUACACCUCAAAUGGGUUUUUGACAACCCCAAGAGUGAGAACACUCAGAAACCCGACUGCGCCAUUGAGUUUCGAGGAAGUUCUCGCUCAAGUUUAAUUUUUGGAAUUCAUUUCCGUUAGUCCAAAAUCGAUUCAGGUGAAAGGUAGUUCGUCGUCAACUCUCGUCGCCCCCGUCGCUUUCUAAAAAAUGUAGUCCUCAACCCUUUUCCUUUAAAAUUUUGUCUUUAAAUCCGUAUUGAUGUGUUUUUAUUAUUGAGUAGUUAUUAAUGAGUGAUUAGCGUGUAUGUGGUUUGUUUGUUUGGUGUUGUUAAAGAUUAGUUACUAUUAGUAAAUAUUAAUUUUGUUUAACUGUGGGCAUUAUAUACACUACCUUAGCAUGGUUGUUAGUCUAGUUUCCCUUUAAUUAGUUUAGUUGAGAUAAAUCAAAUAUGAAUUAGUUACUUCAAGUUUAACUGUUCUUCAUAUGGUCCUAGAUGUGUAAGUAUUUUCUCAUUAGUUUAACAAGGAUGCUCAUCUGAUUCUCCCCUCUUUAUCUAAAUGAAGAUUUAAUUUGCUGAGGUCUUGUUUACCAUUGCAACUCAAUCUUGUUGAAAAUUCUACAUCAUCUUUUCAGUUUCUCUUCAUUGUUCUAUUUGAGAAAGUAGUAUUGAUUAGCAUGAUCUUUAGGGUUAUUAUCUUCUUUUGUGGUGUUGAUAUCUAAAUGUAGAGUCCCUGUUUGAAUAGAAAACAUAGAAUUACUGGAUUCUUUUAAAUCUGAGGUGUGUAUUUUUAUUUCUUAAAAGGUAACUUUUGGAUAGCAUGAUAUCUUGUUCAAGGAUUAGCAAAUAAAAUAAAAUUUAUAGCCAUUCUUGGAGUAAUGUAAAAAUGGAGGAAAAUAACUCACAUUUGAGUUUAGAUUAAGAGAUGGUUUUCCAGUUUCUCUUUGCUGCUUAGUUUGGAGAAAACAACAGUAAUGGUUUAGCAUGCUUAUGUCCUAUUGGAUUUUUUUGCAUAAUUCAAAAUAUUAGUUUGUUGAUUAAGGUUUUCAUGUCUCUUUGUCUUUUUUUUUUUCUAGAGUUUGCUGUGGUGUGUUUCUUUUAGAAAGCUUAAGUCUGAAUGUUAAAGGAGAAAUUUUGAUCUGGUUUGGGCUAAAACUAAUUUACACUUUCUCUUUCCAAAAUAGUUGCGAAUGCCUUCAAGCAUGGCUGCACUAUCCUUUCUUUUGACUGAACACUAACUUUAGCAUUAGCCUAUCUUUUUAUUUGAUUUAAAGUAUUGUUUCUAAGCUGUGUUAACAAGCCCAUGUUGAGUUCUAUAUGAUUUUCUGUGAAAUUUUUGCUACUGAUUAAAUCAGUUUCUUUGAGUUCAACAUUAUUUCUUUUCAGUCUCCCUUUCCUGACUUGUUUAAAGAAGUGAAAAGAUUUUAGCUUGGUUGUUUAAGGUUUUCAUUCUUCACUUGAGAUGUUGGUUCCUUCUGAAAUUCAGGGCUGAAUAGUUAAGGACAGAGUUGGUGCUCUCUGACUUUUUAGCUAGCACAUGAUAUGUUGAGGUGCUUAAGCAUUGAUUUUGUUUAAUAUUCUUCUUUUCUUUCUGCUUCUUCUGUGGUCAUUUAGUUCUUUGCUAAAGAUUGGAGUAGUGACUAAUAAACCAUGUGAAAACUAUAACUUAGCAAUCUUAACUGGUAAAAAAUAUGAAUAUGUUUAUCUUAGCAAAUGUGCUUCCUCUUAACCUGCCCUGUCUAUCCUUUUUUUGUAUCCCUCAUAUCAUUGUUUCCUUAAGCCGGUAAUGAUCAGUGGAAGGUAAACUUGGAUUUGGGGUAGUAGAAUGGAAUAGGACCUUGUUGUGCAUUUGAUAAGUAAACUCUAUGUUCAUGUGUGUAUGCAAUCAAAGUGGCAAAACCCCAACUGUUUUCAGUUACUGUCCUCAGAAAGAGGGAACCUUUUUUUUUUUUUUUUUUUUUUUUUUUUUAGUAUGGAUCCAGCCCUGUUUAAGGGAAAAUGAAGAGAUGUUUUCUUUUGAAAUAAAAUCUUGGCAUGAUCAUAUCUUUUCCAAGUCUCCAAACUGUAUAAGCUAUGUUUUGUUGGUCCUUCAUUAACUUGAACUAAGUGGA
Molecule: long non-coding RNA, 2404 nt
Organism: Lycium ferocissimum
Lineage: Eukaryota; Viridiplantae; Streptophyta; Magnoliopsida; Solanales; Solanaceae
Exons: 2
Source: RefSeq, a predicted model, not a curated record